AGCAAGAGCAAGAGAGCAUCUCAAGCCACCUGUGACAUCAAGAUCAAGCUCAAGAGGUACAUUUUGAGUUUGAGCAGCCAGGUUACAAUGUUAAAUCUUAACUGUCCUGUUUGUUGUCCACUGGUGAACUAUGGAAGCUUUAAGAGGCGGUGGCAGCGACCCAGUGGCGGAUGGUUGAAGGAUCACAUGGGGGUGCCCGAAGGAGACGUUGCUGUGUCUGGGCACCACCAAAGCACAUCUCUCACCAUGGGCAUGGACCAGGGCAAAGGACUCAACAGCUGAUUAACACACAUCCAGCUCUCAUCCAAGGCUCAAGGACUGCUCUCCUCCACCAAAGAAACUGCCUUGGCCUGCCUUGCCUCCCAAUGCACCAGAGAAAUGGAAAGAUCUCAUCAGCUAGAGGAAGAGUGUUGCAUGUUAGUGAAAACACCUUCUGAUAAUUGUAAGGCAUGUUAGCAUUUAUGAGGCAUUUAUUUUCAGGCAGUUUCGCUAUUACAACAAAUAUUUCUAAGGUCCACAAAGGAGAUUAGUCAGAUUCUCAUGAAUGUUUUUCAAUUCAUGGUGCAGAAGCCUUGUCAAGCUGUCACUUGGCUCAUUUAACUAUUGGAAAUACCCACAGCCUCCACGGUGCAGUGGUUAGCGUCCCUUACUACAAAUCUAUGGGUCUGGGUUUGAAUCCCAGCUAGGGCAGUCAGUGUGCAGCCCACCCAGCUGUUCAUCCUUCCUUUUGGGAUGGACGAUAAAUGGGUACCUGGGGAAACCUGAGGAAGGUAAACUGCUACAACCCAGAUGUUACACUGGCCCUGCGUUGGGUUUAGGGUGCUCUCCCAUCACAGGCUGAAAGUGCAGUUAUAGUGUAUGAUCCCAACUUUACCUUACUUAUGAAAGCCUUAUCAAAUGGGGGGUGUAAGCCUUGAUAUGUCCAAGAAUAUGGAUUUAAGCUCUACCUUGUGUUACAGGAGACAGACCGUGAGAUGAACACAAAUAGGUGAUCUUAUAAGUAGGAGAAACUGAAAAAGGACACAAUAGGAUGACAGCACCAUCUGAUAGUAAGGUGUGAGUGGUUUUAAGCAUCUUUGUGUGUUACCUGCUGGGUGUGGCACCAAAAAUGGGGAAUAUAUAGGGAUGAAAAGAGAAUGAAAGCUGUAAGACACCAAAGAGGGGUUAGAGUAAGGUUAUUGUGGCACCUCCUGAUAGCAAGGUGUGGCAUAUUUUAAGUCCCAACUUGUGUUUGUUACCUGGCGGGUGUGUGUGUGACAGGAAGCAGACUAAGAGAUAAACAGUUACAGUGAAGGAAAGCACCAAGGAAGGAAUUAAUUGGAGUAAUGAAAGUUGA
Long non-coding RNA from Eriocheir sinensis (Chinese mitten crab), 1336 nucleotides. RefSeq lists it as uncharacterized. The record is from RefSeq and is a predicted model, not a curated record. Lineage: Eukaryota; Metazoa; Arthropoda; Malacostraca; Decapoda; Varunidae. The transcript is spliced from 3 exons.